CCUACGGUGGGCUGCAGUGAGGAAUAUUGGUCAAUGGCCGAGAUCCUGAACCAGCCAAGCCGCGUGAGGGAAGACGGCCCUAUGGGUUGUAAACCUCUUUUGUCGGGGGACAAAACCCGGGACGUGUCCCGUACUGCGUGUAUCCGAAGAAAAAGCAUCGGCUAACUCCGUGCCAGCAGCCGCGGUAAUACGGAGGAUGCGAGCGUUAUCCGGAUUUAUUGGGUUUAAAGGGUGCGUAGGCGGUCCGUUAAGUCGGCGGUAAAAUUGCGGGGCUCAACCCCGUCGAGCCGUCGGAACUGGCAGACUUGAGUGGGGGAGAGGCAGGCGGAAUGCGCGGUGUAGCGGUGAAAUGCAUAGAUAUCGCGCAGAACGCCGAUUGCGAAGGCAGCGUACCGGGGCCCGACUGACGCUGAGGCACGAAAGCGUGGGGAUCGAACAGGAUUAGAUACCCGUGUAGUC
RNAcentral lists this ribosomal RNA (459 nucleotides) under uncultured bacterium. Its description in RNAcentral is "partial 16S ribosomal RNA". It matches the Rfam family "Bacterial small subunit ribosomal RNA", at positions 338 to 795 of the family's 1533-position model. The record is from RNAcentral.